This 515-nucleotide ribosomal RNA is filed under the name uncultured archaeon. Its description in RNAcentral is "bacterial SSU rRNA". It matches the Rfam family "Archaeal small subunit ribosomal RNA", at positions 345 to 859 of the family's 1478-position model. The record is from RNAcentral.
AACCUUUACACUGCACGCCAGUGCGAUAAGGGGAUCCCGAGUGCGCAGGCAUAGAGCCUACGCUUUUGUCCACCGUAGGGAGGUGGACGAAUAAGGGCUGGGCAAGACCGGUGCCGGCCGCCGCGGUAAUACCGGCAGCCCGAGUGAUGGCCGAUCUUAUUGGGCCUAAAGCGUCCGUAGCUGGCCGCACAAGUCCAUCGGAAAAUCCACCCGCUCAACGGGUGGGCGUCCGGUGGAAACUGUGUGGCUUGGGACCGGAAGGCGCGACGGGUACGUCCGGGGUAGGAGUGAAAUCCCGUAAUCCUGGACGGACCGCCGAUGGCGAAAGCACGUCGCGAGAACGGAUCCGACAGUGAGGGACGAAAGCUAGGGUCUCGAACCGGAUUAGAUACCCGGGUAGUCCUAGCCGUAAACAAUGCCUGCUAGGUGUGGCUCCCACUACGAGUGGGUGCUGUGCCGUAGGGAAGCCGUGAAGCGAGCCGCCUGGGAAGUACGUCCGCAAGGAUGAAACUUAA